RNAcentral lists this ribosomal RNA (259 nucleotides) under uncultured bacterium. RNAcentral's name for it is "partial 16S ribosomal RNA". It matches the Rfam family "Bacterial small subunit ribosomal RNA", at positions 795 to 1052 of the family's 1533-position model. The record is from RNAcentral.
CCACGCCGUAAAUGGUGAGUGCUAGGUGUCGGGAGUCAAAUCUCGGUGCCGACGUUAACACAUUAAGCACUCCGCCUGGGGAGUACGCACGCAAGUGUGAAACUCAAAGGAAUUGACGGGGACCCGCACAAGCAGCGGAGCAUGUGGUUUAAUUCGACGCAACGCGAAGAACCUUACCAAGUCUUGACAUAUUUCGGCGAUUAAUAGAGAUAUUAAUCUAUGACUUCGGUCAACUGAAAUACAGGUGGUGCAUGGUUGU